Molecule: ribosomal RNA, 477 nt
Filed under: uncultured bacterium
Lineage: Bacteria
Description: bacterial SSU rRNA
Rfam family: Bacterial small subunit ribosomal RNA
Source: RNAcentral
GAUGAACGCUGGCGGCGUGCUUAACACAUGCAAGUCGAACGGUAGAAAGGGUAGCUUGCUAUCUUUUCUUAGUGGCGGACGGGUGAGUAACGCGUGGGUAACCUGCCCUUUGCAGGGGGAUAACAGUGAGAAAUCACUGCUAAUACCGCAUACCAACUUCUUCGCAUGAAGGAAGUUUGAAAGAUUUAUCGGGCAAAGGAUGGACCCGCGUUGGAUUAGCUAGUUGGUGAGAUAACAGCCCACCAAGGCAACGAUCCAUAGCCGGCCUGAGAGGGUGAACGGCCACACUGGGACUGAGACACGGCCCAGACUCCUACGGGAGGCAGCAGUGGGGAAUAUUGCACAAUGGGCGAAAGCCUGAUGCAGCGACGCCGCGUGAAGGAUGAAGGUCUUCGGAUUGUAAACUUCUAUCAGCAGGGAAGAAAGGGCUUAUAGCCUAUGACGGUACCUGACUAAGAAGCCCCGGCUAACUACGUG